GCGGACGUGGCGGAAUUGGCAGACGCGCCGGGUGUAGGUCCCGGUGCCCUUAGGGGCUUGGGGGUGCGACGCCCCCCGUCCGCA
RNAcentral lists this transfer RNA (84 nucleotides) under Actinomycetes bacterium. Its description in RNAcentral is "tRNA-Leu". RNAcentral also lists the same sequence under 1 other name. The record is from RNAcentral. Lineage: Bacteria; Bacillati; Actinomycetota; Actinomycetes.